RNAcentral lists this ribosomal RNA (489 nucleotides) under uncultured bacterium. RNAcentral describes it as "partial 16S ribosomal RNA". It matches the Rfam family "Bacterial small subunit ribosomal RNA", at positions 28 to 507 of the family's 1533-position model. The record is from RNAcentral.
GAUGAACGCUAGCGGCAGGCUUAAUACAUGCAAGUCGAGGGGCAGCAGGACUGUAGCAAUACAUUUGCUGGCGACCGGCAAACGGGUGCGGAACACGUACGCAACUUACCCUGAACUGGGGGAUAGCCCGGGGAAACCCGGAUUAAUACCCCGAAAUAUACUGGAGUGGCAUCACUUUAUUAUUAAAGCUCCGGCGGUUCGGGAUGGGCGUGCGGCUGAUUAGGUAGUUGGUUGAGGUAACGGCCCACCAAGCCUACGAUCAGUAACUGGUGGGAGAGCACGACACGUUACACGGGAGCCACGACCCGGGCCCCACUCCUACGGGAGGCAGCAGUAAGGAAUAUUGGGCAAUGGAGGCAACUCUGACCCAGCCAUGCCGCGUGGAGGAUGAUUGCCCUCUGAGUUGUAAACUUCUUUUAUAGGGGACGAAACCUGUGUAUUCUUACGCAAUUGACGGUACCCUAAGAAUAAGCACCGGCUAACUCCGUG